UAGUCAGAUGACCACAAGUGGUUGGUUGU
Molecule: non-coding RNA, 29 nt
Filed under: Homo sapiens (human)
Lineage: Eukaryota; Metazoa; Chordata; Mammalia; Primates; Hominidae
Source: RNAcentral